GACGAACGCUGGCGGCGUGCUUAACACAUGCAAGUCGAACGGAAAGGCCCUGCUUUUGUGGGGUGCUCGAGUGGCGAACGGGUGAGUAUCACGUGAGUAACAUGCCCUUGACUUUGGGGUAACUUCAGGAAACUGGGGCUAAUACCGGAUAGGAGCUCCUGCUGCAUGGUGGGGGUUGGAAAGUUUCGGCGGUUGGGGCUGGACUCGCGGCUUAUCAGCUUGUUGGUGGGGUAGUGGCUUACCGAGGCUUUGACGGGUAGCCGGCCUGAGAGGGUGACCGGCGACAUUGGCACUGAGAGACGGCCCAGACUCCUACGGGAGGGAGCAGUGGGGAAUAUUGCACAAUGAGCGGAAGCCUGAUGCAGCAACGCCGCGGGUGGGAUGACUGUCUUCUGGUUGUAAACCGCAUUCGCCUGUGACGAAGCGUGAGUGACGGUAACGGGUAAAGAAGCACCGGCUAACUACGUG
Molecule: ribosomal RNA, 468 nt
Filed under: uncultured bacterium
Lineage: Bacteria
Description: partial 16S ribosomal RNA
Rfam family: Bacterial small subunit ribosomal RNA
Source: RNAcentral